RNA transcript from Biomphalaria glabrata, 3430 nucleotides. It is a transcript of the gene named peptidyl-alpha-hydroxyglycine alpha-amidating lyase 1-like, with no coding region annotated. The record is from RefSeq and is a predicted model, not a curated record. NCBI's taxonomy places the organism in Eukaryota, Metazoa, Mollusca, Gastropoda, Planorbidae. The transcript has 4 exons.
GUGAAAUGUACCAGAUAACAUGCGAAACCCACAUUAUGUAGCAGCAGAUCCAGUAACACAUAGCAUCUAUGUAGGGGAAUUGGACCCUGAAAGUGUUUGGAAGUUUAGCAGACCUGUUACAGUACAGUCAAGUUCACAGCAUAACAAAGUUGAGGAAAGUACUCAGAGCCAGUUACUGUCAGCAAUCCAUUGGACCAGAGUGAAACCAAUACCACAGAGUUGUCUGAGGCUAUCAAAGAUAGCAGUGAUGUCUCUCCCUCUGUCAUCAAUUGGCAUCUUACUUGUGGAAAAUUUAAAUGUUAUGGACAUGGAAAGAAGGGAAAGGUUUUUAACCUUAAAGGCUUUACUUGGAAUUCUCAUAAAGGCUUUGAUAGACUUAGUACUGAGGAAAGUGAUCAUGAGGUUGACCCAGAUGAUUUAGAUGAUAAAGACUAUUUGACACCUCCCAAGAGAAUAAAGCAUAGCCUCAAGUUCAAGGCUGACUAAAUUGUGUAAAUUAAUCUUUUUUUUUCUUUGUUAUUAGUUGGUCAUAUCAUAAUAUUCUGCCAUUACAGUCAGGGUUUAAACUUGUUUACAUGUUGAAUCUGAUACCAACUAAAUCUCAUAAACACAUAAUUAACCAUAGACCCACCUCAUGUAAAAAAAAAUGUUUUGUAAAAUGUUUUACAUAUUUCGGAUGUUCUUUCAGAGUUGAAGAUAGUUUACUUCCUAGUCCAAAUCUCCCACAGGACGACGGGGGAUGGGAGCGGGCAGGGUUUGAGCCCGGGACCAUCGAUAAAUCCAAACGACAGUCCAGCGUGCAAACCGCACGACCAGGCAGCCAUAUUACAUGUUAUUAGUUGUAAGUUGUAUUACAAUAACUAAGUGAUUUUGAGCUCAUAAAAUUUCAAAAUAAAAUUAUAAAAUGCUUUUGUCAUUGAAAAAAAGAUUACUAUGUUGGAUUUUUUUUGGAUAGCAAAGGCUAUUUGACCUUUUUAUUUCAAUAUGUGAUAUCAAAAUUUUUAAUUCAUUAAUUUGUUUAAUAUUUGUCGAAAGUUUGCUUUUGAAUAAAAUAUUUAUCAGCAUUAUUAUCAUUUAAUAAGUAUAUUUUGUUUUUUAAUUUUAUGAAUGAUUUGAUGUUAUAAUGCCAGGUCAUUUACAAAGCACACGCCUGCCAACUUUCUUUUUGUAAUGAUUCUCAAAACUUAAUUAGCUACCAAAUGAUUGUUUGCUCACUUGGUUGUGAUGAUUCAACAUUCCUGUUAUGUUCCACCAUUUCCUUCUUCAAUUCUAAAGCUGGCUUUAUUUCAUCUAGUGAACGUACCAUUAGUGUUAGUGACCCUGGCAAACUAGCCAUUUUAUGCACAAUUUUAAAAUGUUCAUAUGGAUAAUAUGGUUAGUUUUUUUAUAGCAUUUUUGACUACAUGGAGUUCCAGACAACUUUCCAUGUUGCUGGUCCCUUUCUCAUGUCAUUAUUAAAUCUUAUUUAAAAAACAAAAAAAACUUGUUAGAUGGUAACAUUGUCCAAAUUGUUACUAGUUUUAUGUAAUGUGUUUGAAAACUAUGACUUCCUUAGAUUGACUACUAGACUCUCAUUCAUGUAUUGCAUUUCUUUAUUUUAAAUCUUGUUAAGGCUUGUUUAAAAUCUUUCGACAUUCAACUUUUUAUGCCAUAUUACAAUGUUUAUUUGUUAAUUCAAUUGUUUAGUCAUAUGUUUGUUUUCCAAAGUGUUACUAUUUGGUGCAAUCAAAAUAUUUAGUGGCAUUUUACAUACAAACACUGGUAGUUGAAAUGAGUAGCACAUUUUAGCUAAUUUCUGAUGAAUCAAAAUAAAAAUGUCAUGAUAUAAAAAUAAUUUUAAAUUUAAAAACCUAAAUGAAAAAAAUUGUAUUUUUUGUAAAUAUAGUUACAGUUAUAUUGAAUAGAAUUAUUUAUGUUAGCAACUUUUGAAUGCAUCACAUAAUUUUAAUUUGACACAGAAACUGAAAAUCAUUUCAAUUAAAGAUUGUUGACUGUUGUUUCACCUCAGAUGAAUUGAUUACAUUUUAAGAGGUUAUCAGAUAUUUAUAUUUAUGACAUACAAUCUUUUUGUUAUGUUAUGAGUUGUUUUUGUUUUUAUUUUCUACAUGUUCAGGGUAUAAAGUUCUAGUGCAUACAUACGUAGAUUUCAACCCACAUUUUUUAGUUCUUACUUAUGUAUUUACAUACAUGUACUAAGAACUAAUAUGAAAUUACAACUUAAUCAUUUUUUGUGCUAUUUUUAUGUAUUUGAACCAAUUUUUAUUUUAAAUUAGCACAAGUUAAAUCUGUUGAUCAGAAUUUUUUUCCUUGGUAAUAGUUAUAUUUAUACUCAAACCCAUUUGAUGUUACUUCUGCAAAGAUUUAUAGACACUCAGAGGAAAUGAUAUUAGCAUGGUAGACACAGUUAAACUUUUAAGGCAGAGUUUUGGAAUUAAAGCUAAAAUUUUAAAAUAAAUCAAAAACAUUGAUAAACAAGCUGUUUACUGCUAGUUUAGUGCAUCAAUCCAUUGUCUGCUUUUGAUUUAGUCUUUGGUUCUUGAUUUCUAUGCUGCACUGUGUCAAUAACUUUACUUUUUCAAAGCAGUUCUAUUAAUCUCUUUCAAAUACUAUUUGCUUAUACUAAUCAGAAUGUAAGAUUUAAUGGGUUUGAUAUUUGUUUCAACUGGUGAUGGUCCCCCUAAAGUAUUGUAUUAGUACUUCAAAACUUACUUAUGUACAGUUUCAUUAAUCAAUUAUAUUUUUUAGGCUGUUGAAGGUUUAUCAAUUGAUUUUUUUUUAUCUGGUGGAGACAUUUAACCAUUUUGUUUUUGCCACAAAAAAAAAUUUAACUUGUUUGUUGUGAAAAAUGAAAUCAAAAGUGAAUGAUCACCUAGUCUUUGAAAGUUCAAAAUAUUUGUACUACUUUAUUGAUGUCAUGUACUCACAUUAUAUUUGUGUGUUAGUGUUUGUCUUAACAUGUUGAUGUUGUUUUGUGAUAUCUACAUCAACAUUGUCUCUUGUUGGUGGGGUAUGCAAGACAUUGGUUCUAUGCUGUUGGUAAAAAUUUCUCAUCCUUCAUUGACUUCCAUUGUACUCCACCUUGCACUUAUGUUUUAUGGAGUGCUAGAAAUCUAAAAAGUAUCCCAGUCAUAAUAGAAGAUUUUUAAAACUUACCACAUUUAGAGCAUUUCAUUUUUACUUUGCUCUUUUUUUUAUUGUGUAUGUUCUUAAUUGUAAUCAACAUCUGACAGUGCUACAUAAUGUUUUAUUUAAUGACUGAGCAUAAUGCUUAAUUUGAUUUUAAUGUGGCUAAAAUUCAUUUGUUUCUCAAAUGUUAGUAGCAUAGAAAACAUGAACUGUGUGGUCUAUUUAUCUUAAUGUGUGUUUGAUGUAUUGUAAGUGAUCAUAUGUAACAGUUAUGGGUAUAGAGAAUAAAAUACAAAAUAUUUAA